AGUCUCCGAGUCCACGUGCCUCGAACCUUGGGCCCACAUGCAUUCUCUCAGGCGACCUUUUCGCCAAAGUGAUGCAUCAAGUCACCGAGCCCACGUGCCCUUUUAGAUGCCCGGGCCCACGUGCAUUCUCUCAGGUGCAUUUCACCAAAGCGAUGCAUCAAGUCGCCGAGCCCACGUGCCCUUUUAGAUGCCCGGGCCCACGUGCAUUCUCUCAG
This 215-nucleotide long non-coding RNA is filed under the name Eucalyptus grandis. RNAcentral's name for it is "long non-coding RNA (EGRA_LNC003124)". Lineage: Eukaryota; Viridiplantae; Streptophyta; Magnoliopsida; Myrtales; Myrtaceae. The record is from RNAcentral.